GCCAGACUCCUACGGGAGGCAGCAGUGAGGAAUAUUGGUCAAUGGCCGAGAGGCUGAACCAGCCAAGUCGCGUGAGGGAUGACGGCCCUACGGGUUGUAAACCUCUUUUGUCGGGGGGCAAAGAGAGUCACGUGUGGCUCAUUGAGAGUACCCGAAGAAAAAGCAUCGGCUAACUCCGUGCCAGCAGCCGCGGUAAUACGGAGGAUGCGAGCGUUAUCCGGAUUUAUUGGGUUUAAAGGGUGCGCAGGCGGAGGUGCAAGUCAGUGGUCAAAUUGCGGGGCUCAACCCCGUACUGCCGUUGAAACUGCAUCCCUUGAGUGCGCGAGAAGUAUGCGGAAUGCGUGGUGUAGCGGUGAAAUGCAUAGAUAUCACGCAGAACUCCGAUCGCGAAGGCAGCCUACCGGCGCGCUACUGACGCUCAUGCACGAAAGCGUGGGUAUCGAACAGGAUUAGAUACCCUGGUAC
RNAcentral lists this ribosomal RNA (465 nucleotides) under uncultured bacterium. RNAcentral describes it as "bacterial SSU rRNA". It matches the Rfam family "Bacterial small subunit ribosomal RNA", at positions 330 to 793 of the family's 1533-position model. The record is from RNAcentral.